Non-coding RNA from Pangasianodon gigas (Mekong giant catfish), 73 nucleotides. NCBI's taxonomy places the organism in Eukaryota, Metazoa, Chordata, Actinopteri, Siluriformes, Pangasiidae. The record is from the annotation of a GenBank genome assembly.
GCUGUGGUAGCUCAGUGGUUACAGCUUCAAGCUGCAGUUAAGAAGGUCUUGUGUUCAACUCCCGGCCACCCCA